RNAcentral lists this long non-coding RNA (2284 nucleotides) under Homo sapiens (human). Its description in RNAcentral is "non-protein coding ITGB1-DT:27". Lineage: Eukaryota; Metazoa; Chordata; Mammalia; Primates; Hominidae. The record is from RNAcentral.
GCGACCGGGACAAAGGAACCGGCUGCGCGGGAGCGCGCCUGAGGGAGGCCGCGGGGGGCAGGGCCGGGACUGCGUUGAGACAGUCGCCGUGCCUCAGUUUCCUCCUCUGCGAAGGGCGGGAGGAGUCGGACGCGCCCUAGAGCCCCGCGCGUUCCUGGUGUAGCCUGCUGGGCCCGUGUUCUUUAAGUUCCUCUUCCUCGGAGCCGCGCGUUCGACCCUCGCUCCCGUUUGUCCACUGAUGUCCCGUUUCGAGCCCGGGAGAUCCUGCAUCUCGGAAGCCCCCUGAGUCCCGAGGCAAAUCGGGACCGUGAGCCCCCCUACCCUGCAGGGCUCCAUGGGGCCAAAAACCACGUGGUCCUUCUGGAAGGGAACUGGCUAAGCCAGGACUGCUUUUCUGGAGUGAUAAUGUGCUUGCCUGUGUCUAAGAGAAAGGUGAAGAAUUGGGAAACCCAUGGGUGUCACGAAGGGUGGUGAGACUGGGGAACGUUUUAGAAAACCUGGUGAGUUGCGUCCUGCUUUUGAUAGAUUUAUCUGGAGGUACCUUUAUGGGGAACAGGGAUGAGAAGGAAAAGUUUCUUCCUAAGGAGUACAGUUUCUGUUUCACCUCUUAAAAAAAAAAAAUUUGGAGAUUGGGGCUGGAAACAACGUUUGAAAGAGAAGGAAACAUUCAUUAUGAGAAUGGCUGAACGCAUGUCGAUUCGAUGAUUGAAGUCUGUACCAGCCAAAAUCAUACUGAAACCCAGUAAUUUAGUAUAUGCUACUGGCAAGCUGCUAUCCUGGUAGCAGAAAAUGCUGUGGGUUCCGCUUGGUGAGCUGCAGCACCCUGUUGGGAAAAGAGCUCAAAAAUUACCAGAUUUAUGAAAUAGAAGUGUUUCUCUUGCAGGAGAUUAGGGACUGGAAUGCCCAUUUGGCUGCUGCCAAUCAAUAUAAGAGAAAAUGAAGCGAUCACAUCUAAGAAAAUUUGCUCAUUACUUACCAGCAAAAUCAAAACUUGAUUAGCCAAUCUGAAGACCUCUAGGAAAUGAGCACUAUUUUUCCCACUUAAUGGAUGUUCAAGCUUAAGAGGCUAAAUGAUGUUCCUAUAUUAAUAUCUCAAUGGUCAAACUGCCAUUAGAACUCAACAUUCUUGAAUUUUAAAGGUAUCGGUUUUACCAUUGUUCAGAAUUCAUCAGAAUUGGCCCAGUCUCAGCACAGAAAACUGUAUAGUUCAAAAGCAUAAUUGGUCCGUGCCUGAUUUGCACUACAAUUUCCAGAAUUUUUUUCCCUGUACGUGACUGGUGGAGGCACUAGCUAGUCUUUGCUACAAGAACAUUAUGAGAUUUACAUAUGCACAACUCUAAACUAAAUUAGUUCCUCCAGGACAAUUUACUGAGCUUUUUAACACCACCGUCAAGCACUGUUGCAAGGACAGAUAAUAGGGGCUCAGAUAAUAUCUGAUAAAUGAAUAAAUGGGUCCUUUUGCUCUCCCAGGACUGGGCUAGAGCACUUGACUAAACUGAUGUGUGAGGUAGCAAUUUGUGUACAGAAGUCAUGAGUUUUGAGGAAAAAGAAAUUAAAGAAACAUGUUCUCUAAAAACUGCAGUCAUUGGUCAAGAAUACGAGUCUACUUGUGAUUUCAUACAAAUAAUGGGUGGACAGUGAGCUAUGAAAUUUAUGAAUACUCUAAGCAAAGUACCCUGGCUGAUAAAUGGGACUUGGAUUUUAAAUACCAUUGGAUAAUAAAUGUAUGUGAUGGCUUUGGAGCAAAUUGAUUGACAAUGGCUAGGUAAGACUUCAGCCACUUUUCUAAGGACUGUUUCUAUAGACUAACCUAGAUAUAUUUUUCUCAUCCGUCACUUCCAGUUACUUUGAAUGUAACUCCUUCUGUAAACAUUAAAAAAGAAAAAGAUGAAGGGAUAGGGAUGGAAGGAAUAGAGGUCUCUGAUAACAUCCUAUAAUACUAACAUAGAAGUGCUUCUGAAUCAUAAAUAACUCCAUUCCUUUCCCUGAGAAACUAAAAUCACUGUUUUAAAAUGUGAAUCUGCUACUCAGGAGGCUGAGGCGGGAGAAGUGCUGGAGACCAGGAGUUCGAGACCAGACUGAACAACGUAGUGAGACCACCCCCGCCCCCGACCCCCAGCCCCAACUAAAAAAUAAGGACUAAAAUUAGCCAGGUGUGGUGGUGCAUGUGUGUAGUCCCAGCUGCUCAGGAGGCUGAGGCAGGAGGAUCACUUGAGCCCAGGAGCUAUGAUCAUGCCACCAUAGUCCAGCCUGGGCAACACAGUGAGACCCAUCUCUAAAAAUG